ACCUUACCCUGGUUCUUGACAUCCCGGGUUAUUUUUUAUGGAAACCUAGAAAGUGCUUUCAUUAGAGAGAACCCUGGUGACAGGUGCUGCAUGGCUGUCGUCAGCUCGUGUCGUGAGAUGUUGGGUUAAGUCCCGCAACGAGCGCAACCCUCGCCUUUAGUUGCCAGCAGUUCGGCUGGGCACUUAAAGGGACUGCCGGUGUCAAACCGGAGGAAGGUGGGGAUGACGUCAAGUCCUCAUGGCCUUUAUGGCUAGGGCUACACACGUACUACAAUGGCCGGUACAAAGGGCAGCGAACUAGCGAUAGUAAGCGAAUCCCGAAAAGCCGGUCUCAGUCCGGACAGGAGUCUGCAACUCGACUCCUUGAAGUUGGAAUCGCUAGUAAUCGUGGAUCAGCAUGCCACGGUGAG
RNAcentral lists this ribosomal RNA (410 nucleotides) under uncultured bacterium. Its description in RNAcentral is "bacterial SSU rRNA". It matches the Rfam family "Bacterial small subunit ribosomal RNA", at positions 968 to 1365 of the family's 1533-position model. The record is from RNAcentral.